CGUAAUUUCACAUUUCUAUAUAUUUUUCGAAAAUUUGUAUUCGCUUCUAUUUUUUUUUGUAGAAUCACAGGCGAAAUCGGAUCGAAAAGCGGAUUAGAAACGACCACCGAAACGACUCCCGUGUUAUUUAACGAAACGACGAACGACACUCGGGUUCGAAAACGGACCUCGUAGACGCGACCGCGCUCCUCCAAAAUGCUAGAAACGAGUAACGGGCCUUGGGCCCAACAUACCAAACCCUACCUAUUUAAAGCUAAACACACACACUCUACACACACUCACACCACCGCACACACACACACACGCAGCUCUCCCCUCUCUCUCGUUCCAUUUUUGGUGACCGACUUCCGGCAAAGCUCCGGUGAUCGACUUCCGGGGGGGGGGGGGUGAAGGCGCGUACCCCCUAAACAGAACCCCCUGAUCACGAAUCCGGCAUCCGUUUUCUCAUCGGAGCAACGGAGGUGCCCGUUCUCGUCUACGGCAUCCUUGGUUCGAGUUCAAGCCUGUUUCUCCGGUGGUGCCGGUGACGGGACGAUGAUGAGAGCGAUGGUUACGAGUCGGUGUAGAUGAUCGAUGAUGAAGACGGUGAGGACCGACGGCGCCGUCGUCGGAGCCACGGCCGACAGCAGCGGCAGUAGUGGUGGUUCCGAUUCGGGUUCGGAUCUAGACCAGUCGGCUCGGGUUACCGGUUUCCGGUGACAGUCGGGUUUGGUUUAGAUGUUUCAGUUUGUUCCGGUUCAAGUUGGUUUAAGUCGAGUUUCAGUUCUGGUUUGGAGCUGUUCUUAUUUCGGGUGCUCGGGUUUCAGCUCAACACGGUGUAACUCGGGUCGGUUUCAGGUCACGACAGGACUAGACGCCUGCCGCCGUUUCGGUUAAGUGCUCUCGUUCAAUCUCUUGGAAUUCUCCAAUCUUUACUCGUGCGACACUUCGAGAAUUCUCCAAAUGCAACCACUGUGGAUGUUGACGAUGCAUGGAAUCUAGUAGGAUGCUUAGAUACACACUUAAAAAGAAUUGUAUUCAUAUUGUGUUAUUUUAUUAUUCAAGUUGUUAUAUUUUGUUUCAAAACUUGUAAUUGAUCCUUUAGAAAUUGAAUGAAAUGAUUAUUUAAAUACCUGUCACAAUUAUUAGCGUUAUGAUGUCUCGAGCAAUCUUCACACUUCGUCUCAUCCCGAUGUUUCCGCCAUUGGUUGGGGUGUGACAGAUUGGUAUCAGAGCCAUAACUAUAGGGAAUUAGGAAAAGUAGGAAUGCUUUAACCUAGUCUAUAGUUUUAGAGCUUUAUUCUUACGUUUUACUUGAAAUACUUGCAUGCCACCUUAUUUACUCUUAUUUAUUCUCUUUUGAUCUUUUAAGCAUAUAUGUCACUUAUGUGUUAACACUUGACAUGUUAUACUUGCUUUAUUAUGUGCUAAUACAUGUUUUAUUGUCCCACUCAUUAUGUGCUAUUCUUGAUAUACUUCAUUGUGCAUUUUUAUUUGUUUGUUUAUUCAUUUAACAUACUCUUUCCCUCAUGCAUUUUACUCGAUUAUUCUGAAUCUGACAACACUCAUAUUACACAAACGGGACGAGUUUACCAAAAUAGGGGUGAAACCCACAAUUUGGUAAACGACUCUCAUCUCGCUCGAUUCUAUUUUUGCAUGAAAUUUACCAUUAAGUUAGGAGUGAAAUCCAUAUCUUAAUGGAAAUUUCAAAUUUUAAAUUCUAGUGGACCCUCGUCAAAGUGUUGAA
Molecule: long non-coding RNA, 1726 nt
Organism: Helianthus annuus (common sunflower)
Lineage: Eukaryota; Viridiplantae; Streptophyta; Magnoliopsida; Asterales; Asteraceae
Exons: 5
Source: RefSeq, a predicted model, not a curated record